UACUCGAACUUGCAUGGUGGGAAUGACUUAACUAAGUGCAAUGGAACCAACAUCAUAUCAUUGUGAGGCUUCAUUCUCUAGAGGCCAAAUAAGAUGGGUACUUGCAAGAGAUGCAAAUGAGUAAGCGUACUCUCUCAUUAUUAUUGAUGCUAGCCAACAUCAUAUCAUUGUGAGGUGGGCUUGGUAAUAGUGAGUCUCCCAUACCCUACUAAGAGUUUCCUCCAAAACUCUCGAAUUCCGAUGAGGGAUAUGAAAUUUGCCAAAAAUAGUGGGUGGUGCUAUUUGAUUUAAAGACCCGGAUCAAAUGGCUUAAAUCAAUCAAUUUAUAUUCGUUAUGUAUUUAUUUACCGAUAUAUUUGUAAACACUAUCCAAAACUUGACAAAGAAAAAACCGAAAGCUUUAGUUUCCAGACUUGGUACUACAAUCCCAUAGAUUGUCUUUAAUGGCUUGUAUAUGUACCUAAGUAGUCUCAUCCUCACAAUCUUCCUAUUGAUAAUGUAUCAUCGGAAUAACAUGUUAGAUAAGUCUAUCAUAAAGAGGACAACACUUUUAAUGUCAUAAUUCUUCAAUUGCAAAUUGUUGUAUGAAGAAAUAAGAGUUGCUUUGAACAACUCUUAGUUAACGCAAACAUUAGUGUUUGUUUCUUUGUUACAUGAACAAGGAACUUGAGAAGUAAGCACAAGGGCAUGUACACUUUAUGUGCCAUGAUUCUUCACUUACAAAUUGUUGUAUGAAGAAAUGAGAGUUGCCUUGAACAACUCUUGAAAGUUUGUAAUUAUGUUUAUAACAUAAUGGUUGGUUGACAAAAAUAGUCCAUCAACAUGGACUUAUGAUGAUUUUUGAAUCAUUGAGUGUUGAAGUGUUAAACCACUUCACGAGACAGAAACUAGGCAAGGACUUCA
This 903-nucleotide long non-coding RNA is filed under the name Malus domestica (apple). RNAcentral's name for it is "long non-coding RNA (MDOM_LNC006671)". The record is from RNAcentral. Lineage: Eukaryota; Viridiplantae; Streptophyta; Magnoliopsida; Rosales; Rosaceae.